AUGAAGGAGCGGUACUUGUACUGGGAGAAGGUGCAACCUGUCGAAGGCGAUUGCACCUAUAAUCCCAACUUGUCCAUACAACCUCUUAUGAGGAACUGGACCGAAGGUGCAGCCACUAGGAGAGAUCGGUUCGACUAUAACAAUGGGCGCGGCCGUGGUAACGUCAAGAGGUUGUUGGAGAAGAUGAACAAAUCAGGUGUCAUGUACAAGCCGGCUGCUGCCGUGCCAUCCAUGGACAAUGAUGUGGAUCAAGAAGUGGAUUCGUUCGAGAACGCUCUCUUUUCUGAAAUUGAUGAGCCGGAGGGUGUGGCAGAUGAGUUGACGCUGGAAAUAAUUGAUGCAGUUGUUUCAUUUGUCGAGUUAGCUGCUAGCACCAACAAGAAUAAGGGGAAGAAAGUUUACCACAAUGAAGUGCAUGGCAUAUCUCUGACUUCCGAAAGGAUUCGACCGGUUAUUGAUGUUUAUAUGCGACAUUUGGAGCUGCGCGUUGGUCAUGAUCGUUACCUAUGUCCAGCGUGGAGGUCCAAAUUCUCUAUAGAUCAUGCUAUCGCAUGA
RNAcentral lists this ribosomal RNA (555 nucleotides) under Triticum aestivum (bread wheat). Its description in RNAcentral is "partial small subunit ribosomal RNA". The record is from RNAcentral. Lineage: Eukaryota; Viridiplantae; Streptophyta; Magnoliopsida; Poales; Poaceae.